CGGCAACAGCUCAAAUUUGAAAUCUGGCCCCCCCCCCGGGGGCCCGAGUUGUAAUUUGCAGAGGAUGCUUUUGGCGAGGCGCCGCCCGAGUUCCCUGGAACGGGACGCCACAGAGGGUGAGAGCCCCGUCUGGCUGGCCGCCGAGCCUCUGUAUAGCUCCUUCGAC
RNAcentral lists this ribosomal RNA (166 nucleotides) under Aschersonia sp. Its description in RNAcentral is "partial large subunit ribosomal RNA". It matches the Rfam family "Eukaryotic large subunit ribosomal RNA", at positions 99 to 261 of the family's 3401-position model. The record is from RNAcentral. Lineage: Eukaryota; Fungi; Ascomycota; Sordariomycetes; Hypocreales; Clavicipitaceae.